This is an RNA transcript of Triticum dicoccoides, 3814 nucleotides long. RefSeq lists it as uncharacterized. NCBI's taxonomy places the organism in Eukaryota, Viridiplantae, Streptophyta, Magnoliopsida, Poales, Poaceae. The transcript is spliced from 6 exons. The record is from RefSeq and is a predicted model, not a curated record.
AAAACCCACCGCACAUCACUCCUCUCUCCUCCUGCGCAGCGAACCCUAGCGCUCUCACCCUCUCAGCCCCGCACACCACUCCUCCUUCUGGAUCCACCGCCGCCGCCCUCUGGAUCUCGACGCGCCACCACUCCCUCCCUCCAGAUCGAGAGAGAGCUCGUCGUCGUCCUCCUGCUCUCGCCCCUGCCCUUCCCUCCCCCUUAACCCCGAGGCGGCAACGCAGACGGCCAUCGACCUCGCCCACCUAACCCUAGCGAGAGGAGAGCGUCCAUGGAUCCGUCGAAGCUGGGCGAGCUGCGCUCCUUCGUGGAGGAGUGCAAGAAGGACCCAGCGCUCCUCGCCGACCCCGCCCUAGCCCAAUCCAUCUCGCGCUCCUCCCAUCCCAUCCCAUCCCAUCCCAUCCCACCCACAGCCGCCGCCCCAACCUCUCUCUCCGAUGACUUCGAUCCGCCGCCACCGCCCCAACCUAUCUUUCCGACCUCGAUCCGCCGCCGCUCCAAUCCCCAUCCCCAUCCCCAAUCCCACCCCCACCGUCGACGACCCUCACCUAAACCUAGGCCGGCUCCAGAUCGAUCAGGCGCUAACAGACAGGCGACGCCGAUCUGGAACCUCGAUCUAGAGGGAUUCCGCCCCCUCUCACCGGCGGGGUUGGGGCAGGCGUGGCUCCCGCGACCAGCCCGCUGGCGUUGUGGACGCUGCUUCCUCUCCAUCCCGCUGUCCGCUGCUGCCGCUCCCACGCCAUGGAGCUCGCCACCACCGGCACCGACCACCUACUUCUCCCUGUCCAUGUCCAUGGAGGCAUGAUCUGAUCUGCUCUCUGCUCUUCAAAGUGCCCAUCUUCCCCUCUCCUCUUGGAUUGAUUUGAUUUGAUUCGAUCCAACCCCUUCCACCCCUGAUGUCGAUUGCUGAUGCGUGCUUGAUUCCCUUCCCCUUGCAGCUGCAGCUCAUCCACGAAGGUCUCUCCCUCCUCUCUUGUGCAAGAUGCUCCCAUUGGUUUUGUUUAGGUUGUGCUCCAUUGCCUGCUGUUUAUGGAUUGUUAGGUUUAGGUGGUGCUCCAUCUCGUGUGUUCUCAAUGACCAGAGCACUUUAGCUGAUGUAUUUUGUACACCAGGUUUAGGCGCCAGCGAUUGUUAGCUUCCGCACUUUAGCUGAUUGUUAGAUCCAGCGACGCCGAAGGGAACCGAGGUGAGGCGCUCGCUAGAGUGUUUAGAACAAGGUCCUCUCGGUGUAGUUUAAUGCCGCACAGCAAAUCUGCCUGUGCAUGGCAUUUACUUAGCAUUUUUUUUCUUUGCUGGAAUAAGGGAGUAGAGGCAGGGGGAGUAAAUUUUCUUGCUCUAAAUCUGUGAAGUCAUUAAAUGCUGUCGAAUUAGUGCUGUUCCCAGUGAUGCCCAUGCCGGCCUGGAAGGUUUGUUACUUGUCGAUACAGACGCUCCACAGUCGAGUUCCUCGUGGAACAGCUGGCCAGUGUAGCAGAGAGCUAGACAGCUAGUGGUGUAAGUAUCUUCACGCAGCCAUGGAUGCGUGGGAUUCGUGGAGCUAGACAGCGAGCUGUACUCAUGCUGGUCGGUUCUUCUAAUUCAACUGCAAACAAAUGUUUCCAUAUUGUGUAGCUCAAGAAAAUGGUGUGUUGUCGUCUGCUUAUCAUUCUUUGUGUUGCUGGAUCCUCAGAGGUUCCUUGUGCAAUCGACAGUCCUGCAUUGAGAUGUUCUCGGAAUUUUGUAACAACAGACUAUUGAUAUAUAUAUUUUUGAGAUCCAUACAUGUACUGUGAUCUACAUGUUUGCUGAACUGAUAUUUUUUAUAAAAUAAUUAUGAAGAAUAAAGCCUCUGCAAAAAUAAGAAGUCUGUUCAUGUUUAUAUGGAUUUAAAUAAUCUUUUUUGACCCCUCAUUCUUUUCAUUUUUGUACUACAUGGAAAUCGCAGUAUAUUUUUUUUGAAAACUUUUUUAUGCUAAAUAACGCCUCUAUUUGCAUGCAUGAUUUUUCCUAUGAUUUUUUUGUAUUAGUAGCGUAUUUACCUUUAGGGGAAUAUUACUAGCAUAUUUGAAAAAACAAAUUGCUCCCCAGGGUGCCCGAGAAUCAAAAAGGAUGUUUUUUACUUUCUUUUAUAAAUUCAUUUUACAAAUAUUAUGGCCUAGUUUUUCCUUUAUUUUCCCAAUGCUUUUGUUGCGUAGACUUCUACUCAUCCGACAAAGUAAUCACUGUAUGCAUGCACGUGUAUGGACUUUACUUGAAAAAAGAAUAAAAAAAAAUUCAACAAUUUGGUUGUAUAUUGUAUAAAAAAAGGCUGCAACCCCUCACACCACACAACAUUUCACAAUGAUCCUUAAAUCUACACGUGCAUGGCACGUGCCAUGUACUAGUAAAGAUAUCUGCUUAAAAAUUUGCUGUCAUCCAUUUGCGAGUUGAGAACGGGUCUCUUAAGAGAGAGUCAGGGUUGCUACUGAUUUGGUUUCUUUCCCAUCCGCUGGUCCCCGGCUUCGCGCCGUGCCGAUGGCGGAAGAAGCAGCUGCCAAUGUGAAGGAGGAGGAGUUCAGCACCGCGCCCUGUCCCUGCUCCUGAUGAGCGUCAGGAACAAUACUCAGUUGUGUGAUACAGUGCCUGAAAAUCCAAUCGGCUUAGUUGCUUGUGAUGAAUCCUACUGUGGAAGUCAACAUUGGUUUCGUCAAUUGUGUUUGCUAAAUGCCCUGACAAGAAGAACGAGAACAAGGAGGUGGCCGUCAAUGACUUCCCGCCUUCAGAAGAUGCCUACGAGGCCAUCCAACACUCCAUUGUUACCGGUAGGGAUCAGGGGUGAGGGAAGGCAUGGAGGAUGCGUUCGACAUGUACCGGCAGUCAGUAAUCGGCGUGGCCCUCAUCGAGACGCUACACAAGAUGGUGGCCAGCGGCAUGCACAGCCCCGAGCUCGCCAUGGCCGUCGUCGUGCAGUUCGACAAGGUCGCCCCUUCCCUUCCCUUCCACAUGCUACCACUGCACUGCUUCCUCUCCCAAACUCAUCGAUCAACAACGAGCAUCUAUCUAGGCUGCGUGCGUGCGCAUGGCGGCGGGUCUGCUGUGGUGCGUGCGGUGGCGGCGCGGCUGGGCUCGAGGAGCUGCGACGCGGCAGGGAGGGAGCUGCUUCCUCUUGUCCUGCUUCGUGUCCCUGAGGUGGCUACCUGCGCAGGGGCGGCCGACGAGGGUGCUGCGGCGGGAAGAAGAGGAUGAGGAAGAAGGCGGCGGCGGAUUUGGACUGCGUACGAGUCAGGCUGCGACGGGGAGCUGCUCCUGUUGGUGCUGCUGAACAGAGGAGGAACUGCAGCUGCUGCUGCCUUGUGCUGUUCCUGGAAGUUGCCGAGCUACUGCUGCUUGUGUGGCUGCUUCUUGCUGCUGCGGCAGAGAAAGAAAGAGGUGCAGCGUGCUGAACAGUAAGAACCUGGGCUGGACUGCUUUACAGAGUAGUUUUUUCUAUGGACUUGCUGUUGUGAGCUUGGUGUUGUGGUGGUGGUUAUUACUGUUACAUGUUACAUGUAGAGAUGCUUCAUGAUUUAGUCCCUAGCUGCUUUCUAUAUUUGUUUUUAUUUUGUUUCUAACACUUUUUUUUAUUGUUAGAUGCCUUCGUUUAGCCUGUACAAACAUAUCUAGAAAUGGUGUUUCCUCUCAUUUAUGAAGCUCCAGCCUGAAAGUGAAGAAGUUAGGAGUAUAGUUGUAGUAGCCUGAAAGUGAAGAAGUUAGGAAUAUAGUUGUUAUAUGUUGUGAUAGUAUCACAUGUAAUGGUGAGAUGAAUUAUGUAAAGAUUGUGCUAUCAGCCAAAUUUUCAUGUGGUUUGAUAAUUUUUA